Molecule: ribosomal RNA, 253 nt
Filed under: uncultured bacterium
Lineage: Bacteria
Description: partial 16S ribosomal RNA
Rfam family: Bacterial small subunit ribosomal RNA
Source: RNAcentral
UACGUAGGGUGCGAGCGUUGUCCGGAAUUAUUGGGCGUAAAGAGCUCGUAGGCGGUCUGUCGCGUCGAAUGUGAAAACCCGGGGCUCAACUCCGGGCUUGCAUUCGAUACGGGCAGGCUAGAGUUCGGUAGGGGAGUCUGGAAUUCCUGGUGUAGCGGUGAAAUGCGCAGAUAUCAGGAGGAACACCGAUGGCGAAGGCAGGUCUCUGGGCCGCAACUGACGCUGAGGAGCGAAAGCAUGGGGAGCGAACAGG